RNAcentral lists this ribosomal RNA (382 nucleotides) under uncultured eukaryote. RNAcentral's name for it is "SSU rRNA". It matches the Rfam family "Eukaryotic small subunit ribosomal RNA", at positions 592 to 978 of the family's 1831-position model. The record is from RNAcentral.
CAAUAGCGUAUAUUAAAGUUGUUUGCAGUUAAAAAGACUACGUAGUUGGAUUUCUGGGAGGGUGCCAAUGUCCGCCGACGUGCGUGCGCAGCGGCGCCCUCUCAUCCUUCUGUUAACGUCUCUCAGCAUUUAUUUGCCGGUGGCGGGCUCAGAUAUUUACCUUGAGAAAAUUAGAGUGUUUACAGGCAGGCUAGGCCGGAAUACAUUAGCAUGGAAUAAUGGAAUAGGACUUCGGUCUCUUUGUUGGUUUGAGGGACUGUCAGUAAUGAUUAAUAGGGAUAGUUGGGGGCAUUAGGUACUUAACUGUCAGAGGUGAAAUUCUCCGAAUUUGUUAAAGACUUAACUUAUGCGAAAGCAUUUGCCAAGGAUGUUUUCAUUAAUC